This 292-nucleotide ribosomal RNA is filed under the name uncultured bacterium. RNAcentral's name for it is "partial 16S ribosomal RNA". The record is from RNAcentral.
GGACUACCAGGGUAUCUAAUCCUGUUUGCUCCCCACGCUUUCGCGUCUCAGCGUCAGGAACGGCCCAGAAGGCCGCCUUCGCCACCGGUAUUCCUCCUAAUAUCUACGAAUUUCACCUCUACACUAGGAAUUCCACCUUCCUCUACCGUCCUCUAGCCAAGCAGUUUCGACUGCACUUCCUCGGUUGAGCCCAGGGAUUUCACAAUCGACUUACCUGACCGCCUACACGCGCUUUACGCCCAAUGAUUCCGAACAACGCUAGCACCCUACGUAUUACCGCGGCUGCUGGCAC